GGGGGGAGAAGAAGCAUAGAGUAUACAGAGUGGGUUCUUAGACAUCUGCUUUUUAUCCUCUAUCAUCUUACAGAUCAUCCUCAGCUAUGUCAUCUCGUAUGCAUUCAGAGGCAUUGGAGGAUGAGCUUUAACAGUUGAAAGAGAAAUUGACAGAGUAAAAUCAACAACUUCAGGAGACCGUUGUUGCAAAUUAGGAGCUCCAGCAGACUGUUGUUACAUUAAAAGAGCAGAAUGAGGAGCGAAAUGAGAGAGAGCAG
This 257-nucleotide long non-coding RNA is filed under the name Elaeis guineensis (African oil palm). RNAcentral's name for it is "long non-coding RNA (EGUI_LNC017399)". Lineage: Eukaryota; Viridiplantae; Streptophyta; Magnoliopsida; Arecales; Arecaceae. The record is from RNAcentral.